Molecule: ribosomal RNA, 1372 nt
Filed under: uncultured bacterium
Lineage: Bacteria
Description: bacterial SSU rRNA
Rfam family: Bacterial small subunit ribosomal RNA
Source: RNAcentral
GAUGAACGCUGGCGGCGUGCCUAAUACAUGCAAGUCGAGCGAACGGACGAGAAGCUUGCUUCUCUGAUGUUAGCGGCGGACGGGUGAGUAACACGUGGAUAACCUACCUAUAAGACUGGGAUAACUUCGGGAAACCGGAGCUAAUACCGGAUAAUAUUUUGAACCGCAUGGUUCAAAAGUGAAAGACGGUCUUGCUGUCACUUAUAGAUGGAUCCGCGCUGCAUUAGCUAGUUGGUAAGGUAACGGCUUACCAAGGCAACGAUGCAUAGCCGACCUGAGAGGGUGAUCGGCCACACUGGAACUGAGACACGGUCCAGACUCCUACGGGAGGCAGCAGUAGGGAAUCUUCCGCAAUGGGCGAAAGCCUGACGGAGCAACGCCGCGUGAGUGAUGAAGGUCUUCGGAUCGUAAAACUCUGUUAUUAGGGAAGAACAUAUGUGUAAGUAACUAUGCACAUCUUGACGGUACCUAAUCAGAAAGCCACGGCUAACUACGUGCCAGCAGCCGCGGUAAUACGUAGGUGGCAAGCGUUAUCCGGAAUUAUUGGGCGUAAAGCGCGCGUAGGCGGUUUUUUAAGUCUGAUGUGAAAGCCCACGGCUCAACCGUGGAGGGUCAUUGGAAACUGGAAAACUUGAGUGCAGAAGAGGAAAGUGGAAUUCCAUGUGUAGCGGUGAAAUGCGCAGAGAUAUGGAGGAACACCAGUGGCGAAGGCGACUUUCUGGUCUGUAACUGACGCUGAUGUGCGAAAGCGUGGGGAUCAAACAGGAUUAGAUACCCUGGUAGUCCACGCCGUAAACGAUGAGUGCUAAGUGUUAGGGGGUUUCCGCCCCUUAGUGCUGCAGCUAACGCAUUAAGCACUCCGCCUGGGGAGUACGACCGCAAGGUUGAAACUCAAAGGAAUUGACGGGGACCCGCACAAGCGGUGGAGCAUGUGGUUUAAUUCGAAGCAACGCGAAGAACCUUACCAAAUCUUGACAUCCUUUGACAACUCUAGAGAUAGAGCUUUCCCCUUCGGGGGACAAAGUGACAGGUGGUGCAUGGUUGUCGUCAGCUCGUGUCGUGAGAUGUUGGGUUAAGUCCCGCAACGAGCGCAACCCUUAAGCUUAGUUGCCAUCAUUAAGUUGGGCACUCUAAGUUGACUGCCGGUGACAAACCGGAGGAAGGUGGGGAUGACGUCAAAUCAUCAUGCCCCUUAUGAUUUGGGCUACACACGUGCUACAAUGGACAAUACAAAGGGCAGCGAAACCGUGAGGUCAAGCAAAUCCCAUAAAGUUGUUCUCAGUUCGGAUUGUAGUCUGCAACUCGACUACAUGAAGCUGGAAUCGCUAGUAAUCGUAGAUCAGCAUGCUACGGUGAAUACGUUCCCGGGUCU